GACGAACGCUGGCGGCGUGCCUAACACAUGCAAGUCGAGCGAGUGAAUCUCCUUCGGGAGUGAAGCUAGCGGCGGACGGGUGAGUAACACGUGGGCAACCUGCCUCAUAGAGGGGAAUAGCCUUUCGAAAGGAAGAUUAAUACCGCAUAAGAUUGUAGCUUCGCAUGAAGUAGCAAUUAAAGGAGCAAUCCGCUAUGAGAUGGGCCCGCGGCGCAUUAGCUAGUUGGUGAGGUAACGGCUCACCACGGCGACGAUGCGUAGCCGAACUGAGAGGGUGAUCGGCCACAUUGGGACUGAGACACGGCCCAGACUCCUACGGGAGGCAGCAGUGGGGAAUAUUGCACAAUGGGGGAAUCCCUGAUGCAGCAACGCCGCGUGAGUGAUGACGGCCUUCGGGUUGUAAAGCUUUGUCUUCAGGGACGAUAAUGACGGUACCUGAGGAGGAAGCCACGGCUAACUACGUGCCAGCAGCCGCGGUAA
Molecule: ribosomal RNA, 480 nt
Filed under: uncultured bacterium
Lineage: Bacteria
Description: partial 16S ribosomal RNA
Rfam family: Bacterial small subunit ribosomal RNA
Source: RNAcentral